GGGGGGAAAAUGAGAGAAUCAGGUCACUGAGCUGGAGCCAGGAAAAAUCCACAGGAGUGGAAAUUGGAGCGAUGAAAGCAUUUCAUAUUAACACAUCCAAAGCCUGAAUGGGCCCGGCCCAGAGGAUGUCUUCCCCCUCCUGGAAAGCGGCUGGGGGGCUGAAAGACCUCUAGGCUUUUCUCUGUCAAAUUCAUUCACUAAUCAGCGCUAUUCAGCCAAUCGCCCAUGUGGUCUUCUGCGCGGUGCCCUGCAAAGCGCCAGGACCACAUAGCAACGAUUAUAAUCAAAACCACUGGAGACUCUUAUGUCAGCUUCUGAAAUACGACGCUUCAAAGGCAGACAUGCCUCCAAUGAAAACCAGCACUUUCUUUCUCUUGCUUUCUUUCUGCCAAGUCUACAGUUUUAGAUUCAAGCACUUGAUAAUUAUAUAUCAAUAGAGACAGAAUGCAUUUUGCCUAAAGCAAAGACAUAAAUGGUUUUAAGGGCAGGCACAGUGUCACAUGUCAGUAGACAUUAGCUGAGGUUAAACUCUGCUGAUGUGACUAGAAUAUUGACAUCUCUGUUAGAGUCAAUAUCUCGAAAUUGACGGUGUGGCUUGGCAUACCUAUUUCCUUAAUGAUUUUCCAGUGUAAUACAAACAUAUCUAACAGCACUCCACACAUCUCAGGGGCUUACACUCCUGCCUCUCCUGUGUUCAUCAGACUGCCAAAGCUUUUUGUUAUCCAAACUUCAGCUGAAAGUGGGAUAUGAGGCACAAAGUACAAUCCUGAAAAUAUUGGCCAAAAAAAUAUGUUUCCCUCUCUCUCCCUACCUAGCUAUGUACCUACCUCUCUAUCUUCUAUCUUGUUUGUAUGGCUAAUUAUGCUGCACCUCAGACCUUCGUCACCCAACUCCAGGCAAGUUUCCUUGAGUACAGACACCCAGAAAAGACUGAGAGACAAAAACACAGAAAAACAUGACUUUGCUCAGCAAGAAAACCCAAGAGAAAUGUGCUUCUGUCCUCUGGUUUACGCAUUGAUCUCUGAUUUCCUGGUUCUCUACCUGCCCUGCUGCAGCUAGCCUCACCUCACGUGGCAAGUUGUUGAUGACUAAGGCGGAGGUUUUGUUUUAUUUUAUCUGGAUAAUUCCAGAUGUUAAUGACUUCCAAAACGCUUAUCCCUCUGUUUCUGCUCGGUUUGACUUUCUAACUCCAUGCAUCCACUUAUGAUGCUACCUAGACCAUGAUUCUGAACUCUAGUUCUAUAGGAGAGUCUGACAGAGAGUUUUAAAAAUAUACUCAUCCCCAAGCAGUUGAAAUAGAUUACCUGGAAUAGGCUAACCAGUAUCCUUUAAUUAAAAAAAAUGGCAAAACUCUUGUCUAAACUACGUUCGGUUAUCUAUUGCUGUAUAAUAAACAACAUCCCUAAGGGCUU
RNAcentral lists this long non-coding RNA (1412 nucleotides) under Sus scrofa (pig). RNAcentral describes it as "lncRNA (ENSSSCG00030060057.1)". The record is from RNAcentral. Lineage: Eukaryota; Metazoa; Chordata; Mammalia; Artiodactyla; Suidae.